AACGUUUUUUAAUGAUUAAUACACUAAAAUUGAGAUCAUCUCGAAAUAUUGAAAAUAUACAAGGAUUUUCUGGAAUAGUGUAAGAAGUCAGCUCGUUCUGAUGAUUACGUUUGUAAUUAGACUUAUGUUUUUGUAAGCCCAGUUAGAAUAGUCUAAAGUUCCGUUUUAAUCUCGUCCAAAUUUUUUUUAUUGAGACUUUGUUAAUUUGAGAAUCUUAAAUUUACUAUUUAAUUUAGAAUGUAGUAUUUUGUGAUGUGUGGUAACUGAUGGUCAACAGCUAGAACAAGACAACAAGAACUUUACAGGGUAAAGCAAGUAAUUACAGAUGAAAGUUUCGCCACCCAAAUAUAAUUGUAAAAAAACGGACAGAGGUUGAUAGAUUAGGUUGAUGAUUUUGGACUAAUAUUUUUAAUUUGUUAACAAUCAAAGAAAAAUUAAGUGGGUCGCCCUUGGUGAUAUUGGUCAGCACUAAAGGAUUGAGUUGAUCUUAACUCUCUUGGUUAGUUAUAUAACUGGAGAACAGCACAGAGGAAUUUUGAUUUUUUUAUAAGAUUUGUAUCAUGGUUAUAAAUGAAAUGUGGACCUUUUUCGGUGGAAUAACUGCGUAACUUAAAAGUAGGAAAAAUGAGGAGGUCCAGAUCGCAAACGAGCAUACCGCUUCUAAAAGGGAGAGAAAGAACAAGAUCGUUAUCUAGAACAGGGAGUGUGAGUCGAAAUGCGAGCUUGGAUAAGAAAUUAACCCCUUUGCCAAAUCUGGGGGUAAAACGCAGCCAAAAGAAUUCUUAUUUAACCCCAUCGACGCCUAUCUAUCUGGGAAUGGGCAAACGGAGUGGUUAUAACAGUAGCAUUGGACAGAGUGGUAGUAGAGGUGUAUCUUCUGUUAAUAUGAAAGCGAAGCAAGAUCAAAUUAAAGACAAAAAAUGGGUGUCAGAACAAUAUCAAAAGUGUAAACUUUAUAUCAGUUCUUGUGGUAAAUUCGCAUGUCCGUCUAUUGCGGACUCUAUAAGACCGCCGACGAUAAAAAUUCUCGUAGAAAUAAUGUCCACCAUGCUGGAACAAAUCUUUGGGGCAGUCAAUAUGAACGCGCAUAAUUAUGCGGAGGUCCUGGUGUCACAUCUGAAGCUGUUGAGUUACCCAGGAUCUUUGUCAGUUUCAAGCGUAAAAAGCUGUAAUACGAUGCAUGGCUUCCCUCAGUUUAUAGGAAUAUUGUCGUGGCUUAUUGAUAAAGUAUUGCAACCAGAGGAGGAUCCCCAACCACUUGAACUGGAGCAAGAAUCGCAGUUGCAUAAGAGCGUUUUUAGAUUCUUUAGUACUAAUUAUAUGCCUUGGUCUUCCGGGAUAGCCGACCGACCAACUGAAGAAAGCGUGAUGCAGCUGCGGGCUGAUUUUUCAGUCGGUUUAGAGCAAGCUGUGGAAAUUCAGGAACAAAUCGAAAUGGUAAAGGCAGACAUAGAAAAAGCUGAAGAAAAUCUGGAAUCAUUGUCAAAAAAAAAAUUGGAUUUAGAAAAUGAAAUCAGAUAUAAACAAAAUGUAAUUGACACAGUGUUGAAUGAUGAUGGAGAGGAAGACUUGAGAUUGCACAAUGAGAUCACCGAAAUGGAAAGAAAAAUAGAGAUACAAAAGAAGUGUCUGCAAGAAAAGGAAGAACAUAUCCAGAGUUUAAAAAAUCAACAAUUGUCCCAACCUUGUACAAUUCAAGAAAAAAAAGAACUUUUAAGGGAAAUAGAAGACAAGAAAAGAUACAUUGCUCGAUUAAAGGAAACAACUUUAGAAUAUCAGAAGAUGAGAGACGACUUGGAUCGCGAGAUAAGAGAAUUAGUUCUGUCGAUUGAGAAAAACGUGGAUGGGUGGAAUAUAGCGAUCGUAAAAACCUUUCUGCCCGAAUUUGAAAAAUUACAGCUGCCAUCGAAGGGAUUCCACUCGCCCGCGUUCUUAGAGGAAGUGGAGCGCAUUAAGAAUGAAAAACUGAUAUUAGAGAGCAAGUUUCGAAAGGAGUACGAAGAUCUAGAAGUCGAAAAUGCAAAAUUGAAGGAACAAGAAGAACUCUUAAAAGUCGGAACCGAUUUCAAAAAGUUGGACGACUGCGUGGAAACAGCAAAGCUUCACAACGAUAGACUUAAAUUGGAAAUAAAAGAGGCUCAAGAUCGCCUUUUGGCAGAAAAGAACGAGAUGGAAAAUUUUGCGGUUCACAUGCAGCAGACCUUGGGUGUCGAAAUUUCGGAACAAGAAACAAAACUGAAAGAUGCCCGGUUGAAGUUACGGGAGGUAGAAAAGCGUUUUGAAGAAAUUGGCCAAGCCGGCAUCGAGUGUAUUACCACCUGUUAUAGAGAAGGUGUCCAAAUUUACCGUCAGAUUGAUGAUAUGGCUAACAUGUGUCUGGUCCAAGAGCAAAGUAAAUUAGUCGAGGAGAGAAACAAAAUGGUACAACUGUUUGAUAAUUUGUGCUGUCUUUAUAAGACAAUCAGAAACGUGAUUAGUGAAGUGGAAACCGCUCCGAGACCUCAGUAACAAAUACUAUACGUACAUUCUAGUUUUAGCCAGAUUUUUCAAUAAUUUUUACAUAAUAAUUUGGUUAUAGACCGGGUUAAAAUUCAUUUCCAGAAUCUGGAAUUACAUCAUAAUAGCUGUAUAUAUCAUCCCUAUGCCAUUUGAUCCAUUCGAGCCGAGGAACAUGGGAUCGAAACUUUGAGGCAUCUUCCAUUCCUUGAUUAUUGACAUAUUAAAUAAAAACUUACAUAGAAGUAAGAAUAGUUUGAAAUGCUCUUAAUCAUUAUCUGGUCCGUAGUUUAAUACCGAUUGUGCAUGCAAUAGAAGGCUCUUAAACAUCAACAAAACUUCAAGUUUUAACGAGCCAUGUCAAGAGAUUGAAGAGAAGAACCGUCAUAGUAAAUGGCUUGCUAAAUUAUUUGAAGAGGAAAUUGAAUACAUCUGAGUCAUUAGAAGAGAUCUUCAAGUUAAAUUUAAGGAAUUUACUUAAACUUGCACUUGUCAAAUACAUAGUGAUUAGAAGUUUGAUUAGUUUUUAGUUAGUUAGUUCGUACUCCCCAAAUAAUUACUAGAAAACCGAAAUAAGCGUUUACUUCGUUCUAAAAAAUCAAUGCACUUUUCGCGACAGUCUUAACAACUCGCUUUGCAGGUAUUACGCCGCAAAUUAAAAUUAAAAUAAGAGAUUAAAAUUAAAUUUUAGGAAAUCCUACAACAGUUAUAAACAUAAUUUUUUUAAACUAAAACUAUUGUUAACAGACCAAGGUUUUUUUUUGCCUUGUUGCUUUCGAAAAUCGAUGGAAUCGAAUUUUUCGAAUGUAUCUGCGCUCGUAUAAAAAUUCAUCACCGUAGAACAAAAAAAAAUUUUUUUGUCUGUCCGUUCUCCGUUCUCGUCUUGGUUUUUCCUCAAUAACUUUCGAACCGUUGGAGCUACAAAAUUGAAAUUUGCCUCCUUUUUAACCCUCCAUGAGGCACAUAAGCAUAUAAGAAAUGGCCCUCAUCUGACGUCGGUAUCCAUCUUUUUUUCGCGCUUUGCGACUGUUAUUUGGACAUUGCUACGAAACACGAUAAGUGUCCGAAAUUUGAAGCAAUCGACUUCAUAUUUGGCACAUAUAUGCAGCCUUGCCUCAUGACGGAACCUAUUGAAAAUGCAAUGGGGGGUCGGGAAGUAUUUAAAAAAAAUUAAAAAUCGCGUGUGCAAGGGGUCUACAAAAAAAAGACCAUUUUUCAAAAACGGUUUACAAGACCGAAAAAAUUCUUGAACCGGAAGACGCAGAGGAAACGACUCUAUAAACUUUUAUUCUUGACAAUUUUUCAAAAAUAUACAAUUAAAAAAAAACUGAAAAAUGGGUCC
Molecule: RNA transcript, 3838 nt
Organism: Cylas formicarius (sweet potato weevil)
Lineage: Eukaryota; Metazoa; Arthropoda; Insecta; Coleoptera; Brentidae
Gene name: kinetochore protein NDC80 homolog
Exons: 16
Source: RefSeq, a predicted model, not a curated record